RNAcentral lists this ribosomal RNA (152 nucleotides) under uncultured Trebouxia photobiont. RNAcentral's name for it is "5.8S ribosomal RNA". It matches the Rfam family "5.8S ribosomal RNA". Rfam says of the family: 5.8S ribosomal RNA (5.8S rRNA) is a component of the large subunit of the eukaryotic ribosome. It is transcribed by RNA polymerase I as part of the 45S precursor that also contains 18S and 28S rRNA. The record is from RNAcentral. Lineage: Eukaryota; Viridiplantae; Chlorophyta; Trebouxiophyceae; Trebouxiales; Trebouxiaceae. RNAcentral also lists the same sequence under 1 other name.
ACUCUCAACAACGGAUAUCUUGGCUCCCGUAACGAUGAAGAACGCAGCGAAAUGCGAUACGUAGUGUGAAUUGCAGAAUUCCGUGAACCAUCGAAUCUUUGAACGCAAAUUGCGCUCGAGGCUUCGGCCAAGAGCAUGUCUGCCUCAGCGUC